Thunnus maccoyii (southern bluefin tuna) is the source of this 433-nucleotide long non-coding RNA. RefSeq lists it as uncharacterized. The record is from RefSeq and is a predicted model, not a curated record. Lineage: Eukaryota; Metazoa; Chordata; Actinopteri; Scombriformes; Scombridae. The transcript is spliced from 3 exons.
UUCUGUCUAGAGCAGCAUCUCAUUUCUCUGCAUUAUUGAUUCAGUAUCUGAUUGUUUCAAUGUGUUUUCAUUGUUCACGGCUCCAACCACUUCAAAACCAAACCGGACUCUCCGACCUUUUCCAACAUCAGUCCCAUCAGCCUCCACACCAACAACAACACAGAGUUUAAUCUCCAGAUCAGGAAGCUUCACACCUUCAUCAUCUUUCCCUGAAACCACAGAGCAGUUUACAGCCGUCUCUGAGGUCUCUCGCCCAGGUUACUUCUUGCCUCCAGUUGUAUGUGUGCCUGUGAUUGUUGUGCUGUUGGCUGUUGUUCUGCUGCUCCUCUACAAAUUGAAGAAGAGGAGGAACUCUGGUUUGAACACCAGAGGAACCUCAGACAGCAGAAACAUGGAGUUAUGUGUCACCUAUGAGAACCGUCCUCCAGUCUCC